This 1485-nucleotide ribosomal RNA is filed under the name uncultured prokaryote. RNAcentral describes it as "partial 16S ribosomal RNA". It matches the Rfam family "Bacterial small subunit ribosomal RNA". The record is from RNAcentral.
AGAGUUUGAUCCUGGCUCACAGUGAACGCUGGCGGCGUGCUUAACACAUGCAAGUCGAACGAGAACGGGAUUAGCUUGCUAAUCUGUCAGCUAAGUGGCGCACGGGUGAGUAAUAUAUAGGUAACAUGCCCCAAAGAAGAGGAUAACGUUUGGAAACGAACGCUAAUACUCUAUAUGCCUUUAAGUCAUAAGACUGCAAGGGAAAUAUUUAUAGCUUUGGGAUUGGCCUGUACGGUAUCAGCUUGUUGGUGAGGUAAUGGCUCACCAAGGCAAUGACGCCUAACUGGUUUGAGAGGAUGAUCAGUCACACUGGAACUGAGACACGGUCCAGACUCCUACGGGAGGCAGCAGUGGGGAAUAUUGCACAAUGGACGAAAGUCUGAUGCAGCAACGCCGCGUGGAGGAUGACACAUUUCGGUGCGUAAACUCCUUUUAUAUAGGAAGAUAAUGACGGUACUAUAUGAAUAAGCACCGGCUAACUCCGUGCCAGCAGCCGCGGUAAUACGGAGGGUGCAAGCGUUACUCGGAAUCACUGGGCGUAAAGAGCGUGUAGGCGGAUAAUUAAGUCAGAUGUGAAAGCCAAUAGCUCAACUAUUGAACUGCAUUUGAAACUGAAUAUCUAGAAUAUGGGAGAGGUAGAUGGAAUUUCUGGUGUAGGGGUAAAAUCCGUAGAGAUCAGAAGGAAUACCGAUUGCGAAGGCGAUCUACUGGAACAUUAUUGACGCUGAGACGCGAAAGCGUGGGGAGCAAACAGGAUUAGAUACCCUGGUAGUCCACGCCCUAAACGAUGCACACUAGUUGUUGCCAUGCUAGACAUGGCAGUAAUGCAGUUAACACAUUAAGUGUGCCGCCUGGGGAGUACGGUCGCAAGAUUAAAACUCAAAGGAAUAGACGGGGACCCGCACAAGCGGUGGAGCAUGUGGUUUAAUUCGACGAUACGCGAAGAACCUUACCUGGGUUUGACAUCCCGCGAACUACUCCUAAUCGAGAAGGUGCCCUUCGGGGAACGCGGUGACAGGUGCUGCAUGGCUGUCGUCAGCUCGUGUCGUGGGAUGUUCGGUUAAGUCCGGUACGAGCGCAACCCUUGUCCUUAGUUGCCAUCAGUUCGGCUGGGCACUCAAAGGAGACUGCCGGGGUCAAGUCGGAGGAAGGUGGGGAUGACGUCAAGUCCUCAUGGCCCUUAUGUGUGGGGCUACACACGUGCUACAAUGGUCGGUACAAAGGGCAGCGAUACCGCGAGGUGGAGCCAAUCCCAAAAAGCCGGCCUCAGUUCGGAUUGCAGUCUGCAACUCGACUGCAUGAAGGCGGAAUCGCUAGUAAUCGUGGAUCAGCAUGCCACGGUGAAUACGUUCCCGGGCCUUGUACACACCGCCCGUCACACCAUGGGAGUCGUUUGCUCCAGAAGUCGGUCACCCAACCGCUUGCAGAGGGAGCCGCCGAAGGAGUGAACGGUGACUGGGGUGAAGUCGUAACAAGGUAGCCGUA